RNAcentral lists this ribosomal RNA (396 nucleotides) under Rhizobium sp. LGIRAA. RNAcentral's name for it is "bacterial SSU rRNA". It matches the Rfam family "Bacterial small subunit ribosomal RNA", at positions 992 to 1386 of the family's 1533-position model. Lineage: Bacteria; Pseudomonadati; Pseudomonadota; Alphaproteobacteria; Hyphomicrobiales; Rhizobiaceae. The record is from RNAcentral.
GGUAUGGGAUUGGACAGAUGCUUAACAUUAGGCUGGCCCCAGAACCGGUGCUGUUUGGCUGUCGUCAGCUCGUGUCGUGAGAUGUUGGGUUAAGUCCCGCAACGAGCGCAACCCUCGCCCUUAGUUGCCAGCAUUUAGUUGGGCACUCUAAGGGGACUGCCGGUGAUAAGCCGAGAGGAAGGUGGGGAUGACGUCAAGUCCUCAUGGCCCUUACGGGCUGGGCUACACACGUGCUACAAUGGUGGUGACAGUGGGCAGCGAGACAGCGAUGUCGAGCUAAUCUCCAAAAGCCNNUCUCAGUUCGGAUUGCACUCUGCAACUCGAGUGCAUGAAGUUGGAAUCGCUAGUAAUCGCAGAUCAGCAUGCUGCGGUGAAUACGUUCCCCGGGUCUUGUAC